GUCUACGGCCAUGCCACCCUGAACAUGCACGAUCUCAUCUUGGAAGCUAAGCAAGGUCGGGCCUGGUUGGUACUUAGAUGAGAGGAAAAACAAGAUAAAUGCUUAGUUU
RNAcentral lists this ribosomal RNA (109 nucleotides) under Propithecus coquereli (Coquerel's sifaka). Lineage: Eukaryota; Metazoa; Chordata; Mammalia; Primates; Indriidae. The record is from RNAcentral.